RNAcentral lists this ribosomal RNA (482 nucleotides) under uncultured bacterium. Its description in RNAcentral is "SSU rRNA". It matches the Rfam family "Bacterial small subunit ribosomal RNA", at positions 26 to 521 of the family's 1533-position model. The record is from RNAcentral.
AGGACGAACGCUGGCGGCGUGCUUAACACAUGCAAGUCGUACGAUGAUGCCGCAACUUGUUGUGGUGGAUUAGUGGCGAACGGGUGAGUAACACGUGAGUAACCUGCCUUUCACUCUGGGAUAAGCCUUGGAAACGAGGUCUAAUACUGGAUAUGACUCCUUGCCGCAUGGUGGGGGUGGAAAGCCUUCGGGUGGUGGAUGAUGGACUCGCGGACUAUCAGCUUGUUGGUGGGGUUGUGGCCUACCAAGGCUUUGACGGUUAGCCGGCCUGAGAGGGUGAUCGGCCACAUUGGGACUGAGAUACGGCCCAGACUCCUACGGGAGGCAGCAGUGGGGAAUAUUGCACAAUGGGCGAAAGCCUGAUGCAGCGACGCCGCGUGGGGGAUGAAGGCCUUCGGGUUGUAACUCCUUUCGCUCGUGACGAAGCCUUCGGGUGACGGUAGCGGAGAGAGCACCGGCUACUACGUGCCAGCAGCCGCGGU